ACAGUUUUGGCAACAUUGCGCGAAUGAUUUCGAUAGAAACGGUCGAUAUUGUGGAAAAACAAGUCGUGGAUCUUGCACCAGGAUAACGCACCUGCUCAUAACGUGCUGUCUGUGAAGCGUUAUUUGACCGCUUAAGGCACUCCAGUACUCGAACACGCGUCUUACUCACCCGACUUGGCACCCUGCGACUUUUACUUGUUUCCGAAGAUAAAGUCUGCCUUAAAAGGAAUC
Molecule: non-coding RNA, 231 nt
Organism: Cinara cedri
Lineage: Eukaryota; Metazoa; Arthropoda; Insecta; Hemiptera; Aphididae
Source: the annotation of a GenBank genome assembly